Long non-coding RNA from Oreochromis aureus, 646 nucleotides. The record is from Ensembl. Lineage: Eukaryota; Metazoa; Chordata; Actinopteri; Cichliformes; Cichlidae.
AGGGACUGCUAGACAUUGCUGGUGCAUGUACUUAAGACGCUGGUUUUGUUUAUUACAAUAUACCAGAAAAACAUCACAGCUGAGUCUGGACAGGACGUCACUCUGACAUGUCGAGCUCCAAACAACGACAUUAGAGCUCUAGAGUGGAGCAGAGCUGACCUGGGAGAUGAAUAUGUGCUUUUGUUCAAGGAUAAGCGAUUUGAAACAGAUAACCAGCAUCCAUCUUUUAAGAACCGGGUGGAUCUGCAGGACAGACAGAUGAAGGAUGGAGACGUGUCUUUGAUUCUGAAGGAUGUGACGACUAAUGACACUGGACCAUACGAGUGUCAUGUUGUCCAGCGAGUGAGAGGACCUAUGACUCUAAUCAACAGCACCUACCUUCAUGUUGUUCCUCCAGGUCAGACAGGAGGAGACACAGAGGAUGGAUCUGUUGGACUGAAAGUUGGUUUAUCAGUUAUUGCUGUGCUACUUGUUGCAGCUGUUUUUUUUUUGUUUGUUUGUUUUUUUAUCUAUAGAAAACAGUCUCAAGGUUCAAAUGAGUAUCCUGCUGAUCAACCGAGCUAACAACCUCUUCAGACCUAAAAUCAUCAAUCCUGAACAUCCAGCAGAUGUCUAUAGACGUCAAACAUUCAGAGUUUGAUGCGAU